AGAUGGUGGUGUUGGGCUGGCUGUACUGUCCUACCCGGGCUUCCAGAUGUGGCGCCGCAUGGUCGAUGCUACAUGGGUGCUGCAUGCCACCGUUAGCAUGGACAAGAUCCUUGGUCUGCCAUCUGAGAUUGAGGCGGGGAGGGCAGCUAUAAGGGGGUACGCCGAGGAUGCCGAUGCAGUUUUCAUAUCGGUGAACAGCACCGACUGCCGGAACUAUUUCUUCAGUGUUCAACUCCAGUCGAUGCGGUCCACGGAACUGUGUGGGAACUUUUCAGGGAAUUCGUAUCACCCGUUCACCGAUUUCUAUACUGGUGACCUGUCAACUCUCCAACUUCCUGCUCCUGCGAACUAGUUCAGGGCGCUGAUGGAGCAGCAGAUGAUGGUGACCGGUGUUUUGAUGCGCUCCUGCGACCUAAGUUAAAGGAUAGUCAAAUGCACCUUCGCGGUACAUCUUAUGACUUGAAGCUAAACAUAUGAUGCUCAUAAGGCCCGACACUGAUCCAACUUCCUGCUGCUGAGAACUAUGUCUGGGGGGAUGCUACAGCGUAGGAUGAUGAUCACCAAAGUUUGGGCUGCUGAUGGGCACUCCAGCAAACUAAGAUAAAGGCCCGUCAAUGUGCCAACUUCCUGCUCCUACGAACUAUGUUCAUGACCCUGAUGGAGCAGCAGAUGAUGGUGACCGGAGUUUAAUGUGCUCCUGCGACUUAAGUUAAAGGUACCAGCCAUUGAGCAACCAAAGCAGCAGGCUCUACUCCUAUAUCGCCAUACAACCCCUCGAACCUUCCUAUUCCGUGAAGCUGAAUAUUUCUUAUUAGCAUGGUUCUUCUUGUAAUGAAAUGGUUGACUCAUAACAAGGGCAAGCUGUUGGAUUAGCCCUUAGAGAGAGAGACCCUUGCCACUUUGUCCCUUUAUUGUGAAUUUGUGAUAUUUUACGACUGAUCUCACUGAAAUCUUGAAUGUGCAGUAGCUGUGUUAUGUAUUCUCUGUAAAAAUGAGAGGAUGUGUUUGUGC
This is a long non-coding RNA of Lolium rigidum, 1011 nucleotides long. RefSeq lists it as uncharacterized. The transcript is spliced from 5 exons. The record is from RefSeq and is a predicted model, not a curated record. NCBI's taxonomy places the organism in Eukaryota, Viridiplantae, Streptophyta, Magnoliopsida, Poales, Poaceae.